GACGGGGGAUGCAAGUGUUAUCCGGAAUCACUGGGCGUAAAGCGUCUGUGGGUGGUUUAAUAAGUCAACUGUUAAAUCUUGAGGCUCAACCUCAAAAUCGCAGUCGAAACUGUUUGACUAGAGUAUAGUAGGGGUAAAGGGAAUUUCCAGUGGAGCGGUGAAAUGCGUAGAGAUUGGAAAGAACACCAAUGGCGAAGGCACUUUACUGGGCUAUUACUAACACUGAGAGACGAAAGCUAGGGUAG
Molecule: ribosomal RNA, 245 nt
Filed under: uncultured bacterium
Lineage: Bacteria
Description: partial 16S ribosomal RNA
Rfam family: Bacterial small subunit ribosomal RNA
Source: RNAcentral